GAUGAAGAUCGCAGCGAAAUGCGAUACUUGGUGUGAAUUGCAGAAUCCCGUGAACCAUCGAGUCUUUGAACGCAAGUUGCGCCUCAAGCCAUUAGGUUGAGGGCACGUCUGCCUGGGCGUCACAUAUCGUUGCCUGAUGCCAGUUUCCUCGUGAUGGGUGACUGUGCAGGGCGAAUGAUGGCUUCCCGUGAGCAUUGUUGCCUCAUGGUUGGUUGAAAAUUGAGUCCUUGGUAGGGAGCGCCGUGAUAGAUGGUGGUUGAGUGACGAACGAGACCCAAUCAUGUGAGACCCCUACCGAAUUUGGCCUUCAUGACCCACAUGCGUCUUUGGAACGCUCAUGACGAGACCUCAGGUCAGGCGGGGCUACCCGCUGAGUUUAAGCAUAUCAAUAAGCGGAGGA
Molecule: unclassified non-coding RNA, 400 nt
Filed under: soil metagenome
Description: partial contains 5.8S ribosomal RNA, internal transcribed spacer 2, and large subunit ribosomal RNA
Rfam family: 5.8S ribosomal RNA (bases 1-122)
Source: RNAcentral